RNAcentral lists this long non-coding RNA (860 nucleotides) under Homo sapiens (human). RNAcentral describes it as "long intergenic non-protein coding RNA 2142". Lineage: Eukaryota; Metazoa; Chordata; Mammalia; Primates; Hominidae. The record is from RNAcentral.
GUCCGCAAGCCAGCGGGGCGAGGCACCUGGGGCCUGCGCGUCAGGUCCCGGCCUGGGGCACCGGGGCUGCCAGCGUCGGAGGAGGCCUGAGACCUGGGAGGAAGCUGGAGAAAAGAUGCCCUCUGAAUCUUUGUGUUUGGCUGCCCAGGCUCGCCUUGACACCGAAUGGUUGAAAACAGAUAUACAGAUGAUAGUGUCGAACCAAGUGAAACAAAGAAAGAAGAUCUGAAUGACAAAGAGAAAAAAGAUGAAGACGAAACUCCUGCACCUGUAUAUAGGGCCAAGUCAAUUCUGGAGACCUGGGCGUGGGGCAAGCAACCAGAAUUUCUGGAUCAAUUUGGAAACUAAGACUAGAAAAGAUCUGUGUUUCGUCAUCUGGAACCCAGGGAGAGGGUGAGGCACGUGGAGUUCCUUGACCCCUCAUCUUGCUGAAGCAGCAAGCAUGGGUGAGUGCAGAGAAGCCUCACGCACUCUUGGGCUACCAAGAGCUGUGCCAACACUGUUGUGUAAGUUGGCCAGAGAGGAACCCUGUAUACUGGACACUAAGUUUUUUACUUCUUCAGAAUAAGAAAAUUAACGCAAAACCUUCCAGCACCAAAUUCAAAAUUUUACACAUUCUAUCACUUACAUAUAGCUCACAUAAGCAUUUUAUUUUUUUAGCUAUUUAGAGCCUGUCUGCUUUGCACAUCCCAUGAGAGUGCAGUCAACAUCUGCUAGCCAUAGAUAAGACAAACUCUGUGGUUAUAAAAGACCCAAACUUCUGCUGUUCUAAGAGCUCCAUGACCCGGAGACGCCCCACCUCACUGCUGAGCAACAUCUUCCCUGCCCAAGUGCCACUCAAUAAAGCUUGUUGUACAAUA